This 223-nucleotide ribosomal RNA is filed under the name Giardia duodenalis. Its description in RNAcentral is "Giardia intestinalis partial small subunit ribosomal RNA". The record is from RNAcentral. Lineage: Eukaryota; Fornicata; Diplomonadida; Hexamitidae.
CCGGGUGAUGCCCCGGAAGCCCGGGCGGGCCGUCGCUGCGUCACGCUGCUCGCCCGCGGGCGCCCGCCCUUGCGCGCACGUCUUGGCGCCGGGUUGCCAGCGGUGUCCGGCUAGCAGGGACCGCCGCGGGGGGUGCAACCGUCGUCCUGAGCCGUCCGCCGCGUCCCGGGUGAGCGGGCAUGCAUGGCUUCGUCCUUGGGGAGAGCGUCGCGCUCCGGCAGGA